This 707-nucleotide long non-coding RNA is filed under the name Marmota monax (woodchuck). The record is from RNAcentral. Lineage: Eukaryota; Metazoa; Chordata; Mammalia; Rodentia; Sciuridae.
UUAUUUAUUCAGAAUUAAAUAGGUGAGUAAUUCCAGAAUUGCUUAGCCAUACCAAUGUCACUGUAUAUUAGUUGUUUCACUGCACUGGUUUGGAUUCUCUCUCAACUUACCUGUUGCUACUUUGAAUAUAUAUUGGUUUAUUGUGGUGCCAAGUGGCAACGUGGGGGUGUCUGAUUCAACAGAAAUACAAAGUUGAGGGCAACUGAAGUGACAUAUGAAAGAAGCCAUGAUCAAGCUUGAUUUGCACUUGCUCUGUUUCUUCAUGUAUCUUUAUAGUAUGAUUUUAGCUGUGAUAAAUAACUGAAGCCAGAGAAGCUGAAUUUGGACUUAGGAUACACUACGUUGAACAGUUAAGGAGCCAGGGACUACUUACAUCAUCCUGGGAACUGUGACCAUAUCAUAUAUAUUUUAGUGUUUGAACAAGAUAGAUUUUUUGCUGUAUUUUUACCAUAUAAAGUAUUUAAAAAAUAACGGAAAAAUAUUACUGGUUCAUAUAGCAGAACUCUAUUCUCUUUAACCUGUACCUUUGUGAACUACAUUAUAUUUGAAUGAGUUCAGGCACACUUCCUUUGAAACAUAAUGGAUGGUAUGCAAAUAAUAUGAUUUUACCCAUACAAAAUAGAAGUAAUCUUUCUAACUAGUGGACCAGCUGCCUAAUUCCUGAGAGAGUGCUUAAUGUAAAGCUUUGUUAACAUUGUUCGGAUUUA